Molecule: ribosomal RNA, 460 nt
Filed under: uncultured bacterium
Lineage: Bacteria
Description: partial 16S ribosomal RNA
Rfam family: Bacterial small subunit ribosomal RNA
Source: RNAcentral
CCUACGGGAGGCAGCAGUGAGGAAUAUUGGUCAAUGGGCGCGAGCCUGAACCAGCCAAGUAGAGUGAAGGAUGACUGCCCUACGGGUUGUAAACUUCUUUUAUAAAGGAAUAAAGUGAGGCACGGGUGCCUUUUUGUAUGUACUUUAUGAAAAAGGAUCGGAUAACUCCGUGCCAGCAGCCGCGGUAAUACGGAGGAUCCGAGCGUUAUCCGGAUUUAUUGGGUUUAAAGGGAGCGUAGAUGGGUUGUUAAGUCAGUUGGGAAAGUUUGUGGCUCAACCGUAAAAUUGCAAUGGAUACUGGCAGCCUUGAGUACAGUUGAGGUAGGCGGAAUACGUGGUGUAGCUGUGAAAUGCUUAGAUAUCACGAAGAACUCCGAUUGCGAAGGCAGCUUACUAAACUGCCACUGACAUUGAUGCUCGAAAGUGUGGGUAUCAAACAGGAUUAGAUACCCCAGUAGUC